This 297-nucleotide long non-coding RNA is filed under the name Gossypium barbadense (sea-island cotton). Its description in RNAcentral is "long non-coding RNA (GBAR_LNC017096)". The record is from RNAcentral. Lineage: Eukaryota; Viridiplantae; Streptophyta; Magnoliopsida; Malvales; Malvaceae.
AGCGAUUGAAGCCAUUUUAUGAGAAUUUUCAAGCCCACAAGGUUGAGGAAAUUCAUUUGGAACCACCAUAGAACCAAUAACGGCGUCAAGCUAACGACGUUAAAAAAGCGCUUGUUGGGAGGCAACCUAAUUUUUAUUUUUAUUUAUUUAUUAUUAUUUAUUAUUUAUUAUUAUUAUUUUUCUUUACUUUAUUUUCUUUAUUAUUUAUUACUUAUUUGGAUAUUAAUCAAUUUUUCUUCUUUUGCUUAAAAAAAUGAAGCAAACCGUUAAGCAACACUUAAAGCGCAUUGAGGCCUG